CUUGUCACUCGCCCGUACACAAAAAGAUAUCGAGGUUUGCAAGAUUUGUCUUUGACGUGUGUCAUUUUCUAUGUAUUUGUGUCGUCAUUACAGAUUGGAUUUUGUAUGUGUGUGAGAAGUGCGACUACUUUUUUUUUUUAUACCACAUCGGUGGCAAACAAGCAUACGGCCCGCCUGAUGGUAAGCAGUCACCGUAGCCUAUGAACGCCUGCAACUCCAGAGGUGUUACAUGCGCGUUGCCGACCUUACUAUAUUUCUUAUCAUUGAGCUCU
Long non-coding RNA from Cydia fagiglandana, 272 nucleotides. RefSeq lists it as uncharacterized. The transcript has 3 exons. The record is from RefSeq and is a predicted model, not a curated record. NCBI's taxonomy places the organism in Eukaryota, Metazoa, Arthropoda, Insecta, Lepidoptera, Tortricidae.